Haliotis rubra (blacklip abalone) is the source of this 602-nucleotide long non-coding RNA. RefSeq lists it as uncharacterized. The transcript is spliced from 3 exons. The record is from RefSeq and is a predicted model, not a curated record. NCBI's taxonomy places the organism in Eukaryota, Metazoa, Mollusca, Gastropoda, Lepetellida, Haliotidae.
GAAAUGUCGCAUUAAUUGUACUAACGAUCUUGUCUAUCCAUUAAACAAUUGCUCCUCUUCAUCUGUUGUUCAUCACGCCAGCUUCUAAAUGCCACUCAAAGAAACUUAUGUCCUUAUUAUGUGAUAGUGACUCAUGAUUUUGGCAGAGAAUUAUAUAAUUAUGGAUAUCGUUUUGACACUUAUAUGUACUGGAAUCAACACGUUGUGUCUUUAUACCAUCAUUAUAAACAUACACUACAUGACUGAUGAUUUUGUAAUAUUGCAAAAACGCCAGGAUUCAGGAUGCAUAAAGUUUGAACUAGUUUUGCCCUCCUUUCAGCAUGUGCAUGACAUCACAGAAGAGGGGAUUUCCCACACAAUUCUAAACUGCAAAGUGAUGUAUUUCUAUCUUCUUUCAAUAUCAAAGUGAGGAUUGUAGAGGAGGGACAUAUAUUUUACGAUUUAACGAUGGCUAGGUCGAAGGUUUACUAGACAAAACGACAAAAGUCAGACUAUUUUUUCCAUAAAAAAACAGAGAGAACUUUAUGUCUUCCUUUAUGACAGAUAUCAGCCCUUUGGAGAUAUUUUGAGUAUUUGCGAAGUUAUGACCUCUCGAAUUAUGU